GCCUGGGGAGUACGGCCGCAAGGCUGAAACUCAAAGGAAUUGACGGGGGCCCGCACAAGCGGUGGAGCAUGUGGUUUAAUUCGAAGCAACGCGAAGAACCUUACCAGGUCUUGACAUCCUCUGACAACCCUAGAGAUAGGGCUUUCCCCUUCGGGGGACAGAGUGACAGGUGGUGCAUGGUUGUCGUCAGCUCGUGUCGUGAGAUGUUGGGUUAAGUCCCGCAACGAGCGCAACCCUUGAUCUUAGUUGCCAGCAUUCAGUUGGGCACUCUAAGGUGACUGCCGGUGACAAACCGGAGGAAGGUGGGGAUGACGUCAAAUCAUCAUGCCCCUUAUGACCUGGGCUACACACGUGCUACAAUGGAUGGUACAAAGGGCUGCAAACCUGCGAAGGUAAGCGAAUCCCAUAAAGCCAUUCUCAGUUCGGAUUGCAGGCUGCAACUCGCCUGCAUGAAGCCGGAAUCGCU
This 466-nucleotide ribosomal RNA is filed under the name Bacillus sp. J3-53. Its description in RNAcentral is "bacterial SSU rRNA". It matches the Rfam family "Bacterial small subunit ribosomal RNA", at positions 871 to 1336 of the family's 1533-position model. The record is from RNAcentral. Lineage: Bacteria; Bacillati; Bacillota; Bacilli; Caryophanales; Bacillaceae.